Ovis aries (sheep) is the source of this 73-nucleotide transfer RNA. It matches the Rfam family "tRNA". From Rfam's summary of the family: Transfer RNA (tRNA) molecules are approximately 80 nucleotides in length. Their secondary structure includes four short double-helical elements and three loops (D, anti-codon, and T loops). Further hydrogen bonds mediate the characteristic L-shaped molecular structure. tRNAs have two regions of fundamental functional importance: the anti-codon, which is responsible for specific mRNA codon recognition, and the 3' end, to which the tRNAs corresponding amino acid is attached (by aminoacyl-tRNA synthetases). tRNAs cope with the degeneracy of the genetic code in two manners: having more than one tRNA (with a specific anti-codon) for a particular amino acid; and 'wobble' base-pairing, i.e. permitting non-standard base-pairing at the 3rd anti-codon position. The record is from Rfam. NCBI's taxonomy places the organism in Eukaryota, Metazoa, Chordata, Mammalia, Artiodactyla, Bovidae.
UCCCUCGUGGUCCAGUGUGUAAAACUCUGCACUUCCAAUGCAGGGAGCCCAGGUUCAAUCCCUGGUCUGGGAG